AUGCUCGUCGCCAACUUCGCCACCGCGUCCAUCGGUCACCUCACCAAGGUGGCCACAGUGGGGCCUUGUAGAACCCCCAUCACCUCCGUGGACGUCAUCUGCCGCGACUCUAGGGCUCUGCCGGGCCCUGUGGCCGCUGCGGCCGUCAGCGAUCUCGACCUCUCCUGGCCCGCCACCCCUCUGGUGUUGGAGGAAGACAACGAGGUCCAUGCUCCCAUGGUGCCGCUGCCUUCUCCUCCGCCCGCCGCCGACCCUCCGGUGGCCUCCCCCGCCCGCCGCCGGAGCGCCUGCCUCGCCGGGAUCGAGCCUCCGGAGUACGUCUCCAUCAUCCUGAAGGCCACUCAGUGCAUGCAUGUCUUGAAGGAAGGAAAGAUUUCUGCUGGUGGAAAGGCGCUCCUCCCAGUUCAGCUCAUCGACAUGGCGCCCGAGGUUUCCUCGCCCCUCCCUCGGCAGGACGUGCUGGAGCUUGCCGCUGCCUGUGACGUGCCCGCCUCGGCUCUCCCUGAUGACACCGCAUGUGUCUAA
RNAcentral lists this ribosomal RNA (525 nucleotides) under Triticum aestivum (bread wheat). RNAcentral describes it as "partial small subunit ribosomal RNA". Lineage: Eukaryota; Viridiplantae; Streptophyta; Magnoliopsida; Poales; Poaceae. The record is from RNAcentral.